This 360-nucleotide ribosomal RNA is filed under the name uncultured fungus. Its description in RNAcentral is "eukaryotic LSU rRNA". It matches the Rfam family "Eukaryotic large subunit ribosomal RNA", at positions 40 to 398 of the family's 3401-position model. Lineage: Eukaryota; Fungi. The record is from RNAcentral.
AUAUCAAUAAGCGGAGGAAAAGAAACUAACAAGGAUUCCCUUAGUAACGGCGAGUGAAGCGGGAAGAGCUCAAAUUUGGAAUCUGACAUUUCGGUGUCCGAAUUGUAAGCUAUAGAAGCGUUUUCGGUGGGCGUCGGGUAUAAGUCCUUUGGAACAGGGCAUCAUAGAGGGUGAGAAUCCCGUCUUUGACCCAGUACAGUCUACUAUGUGAUACGCUCUCAAAGAGUCGGUUUGUUUGGGAAUGCAGACCAAAAUGGGUGGUAAAUUCCAUCUAAAGCUAAAUAUAGGCGAGAGACCGAUAGCGAACAAGUACCGUGAGGGAAAGAUGAAAAGCACUUUGAAAAGAGAGUUAAACAGUAC